Molecule: ribosomal RNA, 492 nt
Filed under: Bacillus sp. END1414
Lineage: Bacteria; Bacillati; Bacillota; Bacilli; Caryophanales; Bacillaceae
Description: bacterial SSU rRNA
Rfam family: Bacterial small subunit ribosomal RNA
Source: RNAcentral
CAUACAUGCAGUCGAGCGGACGAGGAGUGCUUGCCUCCUGAUUACCGGCGGACGGGUGAGUAAUACGUAGUAACCUGCCCUUAAGACAGGGAUAACUCACGGAAACGUGGGCUAAUACCGGAUAGGCGAUUUCCUCGCAUGAGGGAAUCGGAAAGGCGGAGCAAUCUGCCACUUAUGGAUGGACCACGCGCAUUACUAGUUGGGGGGACGGCUCACCAAGCGACAUGCGUACCGACCUGAGAGGGUGAUCGGCCACACUGGGACUGAACACGGCCCAACCUACGGGAGGCACAGUAGGGAAUCUUCCGCAAUGGACGCAAGUCUGACGACACCCCGCGUGAGUGAUGAAGUUUUCGACAAAGCUCUGUUGCCAGGGAAGAACCUAUGGAGAGUAACUGUUCCUAGUGACAGUACCUGAAAGAAAGCCCCGCUAACUACUGCACCCGUAAUACUAGGGGCAACGUUGUCCGGAAUUAUUGGGCUAGCGCCCGC